RNAcentral lists this ribosomal RNA (191 nucleotides) under uncultured Chloroflexota bacterium. Its description in RNAcentral is "uncultured Chloroflexi bacterium partial 16S ribosomal RNA". It matches the Rfam family "Bacterial small subunit ribosomal RNA", at positions 357 to 565 of the family's 1533-position model. The record is from RNAcentral. Lineage: Bacteria; Bacillati; Chloroflexota.
AGGAAUUUUCCCCAAUGGGCGCAAGCCUGAGGGAGCAACGCCGCGUGGAGGACGACGGCCUUCGGGUUGUAAACUCCUUUCGGGUGGGACGAUGCUGACGGUACCACCAGAAGCAGCCCCGGCUAACUCCGUGCCAGCAGCCGCGGUAAGACGGAGGAUGCAAGUGUUAUCCGGAAUCACUGGGCGUAAAG